GCCUUCGUGAAGUAGUGGUCAGCACGCUCGACUAGUAUUCCAGAGGUCCGUGGUUAGAGUCCCGGCGAGAGCA
Molecule: transfer RNA, 73 nt
Filed under: Stegodyphus mimosarum
Lineage: Eukaryota; Metazoa; Arthropoda; Arachnida; Araneae; Eresidae
Rfam family: tRNA
About the family: Transfer RNA (tRNA) molecules are approximately 80 nucleotides in length.
Source: Rfam by way of RNAcentral